Molecule: long non-coding RNA, 1126 nt
Filed under: Manacus vitellinus (golden-collared manakin)
Lineage: Eukaryota; Metazoa; Chordata; Aves; Passeriformes; Pipridae
Description: lncRNA (ENSMVIG00005012527.1)
Source: RNAcentral
CCAGGAUGUUCAUCUGGUUUGUCCAGAAGCUGGAGACGGUGCUGCCACAGCCAGUGACCAGGGGGAAGCAGGACACACAGGGAGUGGCCUCAGCAACCUUGAGUCCCGUGGAACAAAUUCAUAUCCCCCCUGGGGAACCCGAGGAGACCCACCUCAUCCUGGAAGAGAUCACUGAUGACCAGGUUAAUGAAGACACAUGUGAGAUGAUGGCCUGGAGUCACAAGGCUGAGCCAGAGGCAGAUGCUCGUUCCCUUCCCCCCAUACAGGAGGAACCUCAGGAAGAAGAAGAAAACAGACUGUGGUUGAGCUCCCUAAGCACUACCAAGGAGGAAAAGGAGGAGGAAAAGAAGGAGGAGGAAGAGAAGGAAAAAUGGGAGGAGGAAGAGAAGGAGCAGGAGGAAGAGAAGAAAAAAUGGGAGGAGGAAGAGAAAGAGCAGGAGAAAGAGAAGAAGGAAGAGGAGAAAGAGGAGGAGGAAGAGAAUAAGAAGGCAGAGGAGAAGAAGGUGGAGGAAGAGAAGAAGGUGGAGGAAGAGAAGGAGGAGGAAGAGAAGAAGGUGGAGGAAGAGAAGAAGGAGGAGGAAGAGAAGAAGGUGGAGGAAGAGAAGGAGGAGGAGGAAGAGAAGAAGAAAGAGGAGGAGGAAGAGAAGGAGCAGGAGGAAGGGAAGAAGGAGGAGGAGGAAGAGAAGGAGCAGGAGGAAGGGAAGAAGGAGGAGGAGGAAGAGAAGAGGGAGGAGGAGAAGAAGGAGGAGGAAGAGAAGAAGGUGGUGGAGGAGGAGGAGGAGAAGAAGGUGGAGGAGGAAAAGAAGCAGGAGAAGAAGGAGGAGGAAGAGAAGAAGGUGGAGGAAGAGAAGGAGGAGGAAGAGAAGAAGGAGGAAAAGAAGCAGGAGGAGGAAGAGAAGAAGAAGGAGGUAGAGAAGAAGAAGGAGGAAAAGAAGAAGGAGGAGAAGAAGAAGAAGGAGAAGAAGAAGGAGAAGAAGAGAAAGAAAGAGGGGGAGAACAGGAAAGAGGAGAAGAGGAAAGAGGAAAAGAGGAAAGAGGAGGGGGAGGAGAGUGCAGAGUGAGUGUCUCCCGUUGCCUUAAUGGCUUUGUUGGAAAGGAGCGUGAACGCAGCUGUUGAUUCAACUGC